ACGGAAUUUCCGUUAACUUUGUUGUUUCCGUUACAAAUACUAAUGGACUUAUAUAUUGUAACGGAUUUCUAACUAUUUUUAACGGAUAUUCCAUUAAAAAUAGCAAUUAUUUAAUAAUUUUCAUUUCCCCCCCUUUAACUAUUUCAUUCCCCCCUAUUUUAUUUUCCCCAAUAUUUCCCUCAUUUUUUUUUCAUUUUCCCAAUCUCAUUUCCUCCAAUUUCUUUCUCCCAAUCUCCUUCUCAACCACCGGCGUUCUCGAUCAAUUCCCCCAAUCUCGUUCUUCGUAACACUCCAGUCCAGUGCGGCAAGUCCAGGUAAGUGCUAGCUAGUUUAGUCUUUUUGUCGUCCGAGAGUUUCAUCUGAUUGUCUUUGGUGUGCGUGUUUUUUUUAGUGUGAUUUUCUUUUCUUUUACCGUAUUGUAGACUUGCAUCUUUUUUGUUUUUUAAUGAUUUUGGUACUUGUGUCUGGUUUAAGAUGGUUUAAUACUGUAAUGGAUGGUUUAAUCCUAGUACCUCUGAGAUUAGAAACAGCAGUACAAUAAUUAGAGACCACAUCUGUUCUCUGUCCCUUGGCGAUUACUACAUUCAACAAAAAACAUACUAGCCUGCCUUUAACAUCUUUAGGGACAAAUUUAAAGAUUUUAACACCUUUAAAAAUCAAGUAAAGUCUUAAAAACUCUUUAAUGGUGAGUAUCAUGCUUCUUAAAUGCAUAUAUAUGUAACUCUAUACGCAAUUAAUUACUGUUCUGCUUCACAUGGCUUUUUAUAAACAAUAUUCACUGUGUUAUUUGGAGUUUUGAAGUGUACCAUUUAAUCUUGUUAAUUUGCAGGUUUGGCCAACCUAUCAAAGUUAAUUGGGCAUAUGCUAGUGUUCAGAGGGAGGACAAAUCAGGUUCACAUUGUUGUUUAUUUGAAUAAUAUUUACCAGGUAAUUAAUUCAUUGAAGUUAGAUCUUUCUUAAGAACAGUUGUCGUUAUAAUUAGAGACCACUAAAGUCAAUGCUUGUUUUGUUAUUUUAUUUUUUAAAUCCUCAUCUAAAUAUGAGUUAGGGUGUUAGUAGUAGCAUUAUCCACACCACUCACUACCCAAUCCUCAAAACUAGGGCAUUCUGCAUAUUUGUUUGAAUUAUUUACAACAUUCAUUUUCUUGAUCAUUAUCCAAGGUUCAGGGGUUCUAGAUAAGUAUGAACACUAUGUGGUCAAAAAUUUGAUCCUUUGUUAAUAGAGAUGGAUGAUGAUUAUCGGGAUAUGAUUUUAAAUUAGUGUCGAUGUACUCGUCUUGGUCUAUCAGUAUGCAUGUCUGUUUUUUCCCACUCGCCAUCUUCCACUCUCCAUCAUUAAUUAAAUUAGCUCUUUUAGAAGAAGUUGGCGAUGAUGAUUUAUUUUUCGACCGGGCUGUUUUGGUUUAGUUUUUUUUUUAAGCUUUUAAAUUUCUUUUUCAAUUGAUUUAGAGUUGAUUAGUAUGCUUUGGUUUAGUUUUGUUUUGGUUUAGAGUUGAUUUAUCUAAGUAUCUUCCUCAUUUAUCAUUUCUUAUUUUUAUUUUUCUUUCUUGAUCUUUGUAAUCAGGACACUGCUCUUCAUUUUUAUUACUGAAAAAAAUUAAUUGAUUCUUGAUUACUGAAGAAAAUCAGAACACUGCUAUCCAAGAACAAGGUAAAAUUACUAUUUAUAAUUUGAAUAAAAUAAUUUGUAAAAUUUAUUUUAAAUGUUAUGAUUAGAUUUCUGAAUUUGGUCAGUUUAAUUCAUGUCUGUUUUUUUAAUAUUUCUGAUUUUGUUUCAUAGUUUAACAUGUUGAUGUUCACAAGUAGUUUCAUAGUUUUAAUUCAUAAUUUUUUUUAUUACUCGUAAUAGGAUAUUUUAUUUUAUUUUUAUGGAUGAGUUUUUCUUAGAGGAUUUAAAUUAUAUUAAUUGUAGUAUCUUUGAGUUAAAUUAUUCAGAAUAACCUGUUAUAUUAUAUUUAGGCCCUUUUACCUUUAGAAUUAGAAAUGUUGGUUUAAGAGGUAUCUUGAAAUGUUUGGACCUUUUUUAUUUAAAUAUCGAUUUUUAAGAGGUAUCUUUUUUGUAUGUUAGAAGAAAGACCAAAAUGGCUGAUCAAAUAGAAGGGCUUGACAAAUCAUGGUUGUUUGAAAGUUCAACCUCGAUGAAAUUUCAAAGUGGAUUGAAAAGUUUUUUAGAUUUUGCUGAAAUCUAUUCAAACCACAAGAUGGAGCCUGGAUAUUAAAACUACCAUGUCCUUUUUCAAAGUGUCACAAUGGCAAAUAUUAUAAUCGUAAGACCAUUAGUGAGCAUGUCAUACUCUUUAGUCUUGACAAUGCAUAUAGGUAUAAGACAUGGUAUAUGCAUGGAGAAUUAAUUCCAGGUUCGAGAGCACAUAAAAAAGCAUUGAAACGCAAGAGACGUGAAAUAGCAGUUUCUACUGCACCUCCUAUGAUAGUAAAAAAUGAGAUGACCCUUUUAGUAAAUGAAGCAAUGGUUGAUCCAACUAUUGAGGUAUGAAACAAUGGUUGAAACAAACAUCUCAGAGUUUUCGACAAGCAUUCGAGUACAUUGAGGUAUGUUUAUUUUUAUUUUCUGAUUUAGAUUUUUUUUUAGUAGAAUAAUUUUUCAAUUUUUAUUAUAUAGGUUGAUUUUGAUUUAGACGGUUACCCAAAUGCUCAUCAAUACAUCAAAUUCAAACUCAACAAUACUUGGAGGCGUUAUCAAAACUAUAUAAAGGAAAAAUACUUUGAUCCAUUUGUUGAUGAUGAAUCAACUGAAAGGAUGUAUGCUAGUCUUCCUCCAUACAUUGAUCGAUUCACUUUCGAAAAGUGUGUGGAAGAAUUAUGGACUACAGAAGAAUUUAAGGUAUUGUUUUUUAUACAUCCAUACUUCAAUUAUUUACUAUUUUAUAUUGUAAGUUGUAUAACAUUGUAUAUGAAUUCGCAGAGAAAAUCCAAAAUAAACAAAACAAACCGGACUAAGAAGAUACUAAAUCAUAAAACAGGGUCAAUUCCUUUCAGUGCAAUAAGAGAAAAUCUGCAACGCGAAGGCAUUGAGGCAUCACGAAUCAAUGUAUUGAUUCGUUCUUCUGGUACUGACAACGAAGUCGUUGUAAGUCUUAGUUUAUUUUAUAAUGUUCAUAAUUAGUAGUUUAUCGAUCUACUCAUAGCUUAUUACUUAUUUUAUAGAGAAACGUGUCUGAAUAUUACAAAAGUGAUGAAAUUCAAGAAUUACGUCCAACAACGGAUGAAGAUGUAUGUUUUAAAUUAUUUUACUAUUUCAAAUUAUUCAAAUGUUUUAUUUUCUUAUAUAUUAUUUUUCGCUUUUAGUUGAUUCAACAAAAAUGCAUUUCAAAAUUUAUUCAAAGCAAAAAAGGGAGGCACAUUGGACUUGGUGGAGGAUCAUUUGCUGAGUCGAGCACUACUUCUACCAGAUUUUCAAUUGAAAUGAAUGCAAGAUCUAUUGAGAAAGAAAAAGAAAAAGAAAAAGAAAAAGAAAAAGAAAAAGAAAAAGAAAAAGGAAAAGAAAAAAUGAACGAUCAAAUGGAGAAGUUAAUAGAGGUAUGUGUAUGAUAGUCAAUAAAAUUUUAAAGUAAUACAUAAAUAUCAAUGAAUCUUAAAUGUUUUACAGGAUAAUCGAGUUUUAAAAAGGAAAUAUGAUAAAAUGUUUGAUAUGUUUGAAGACCUGUAAAAAACAGUUUUAUCCCAAUCAAAUACAACUCCACAACCUUCAGAUCGUGGAUCGUUACAAGAUAAAAGUAUUAAUGCAGGUCAGAGCGAUCAAAGAUAUCAAACUCCUCCAUCCAAAUAGGUCUUCCAUGUUAUUUUUGUUGAAUGUUAGUUUUCUUGAAUGUUAGUUUUGUUGAAUGUUAGUAUUCUUGAAUGUUAGUUUUGUUGAAUGUUAAUUUUCUUAAAUGUUGAAUGUUGUAUUUGUUGAAUGUUGUUUUUGUAUUGAAUAUUUGUUGAAUAUUGAAUGAAUUUACAGGAAUUAAUAUUAAUUGAAUGAAUUUACAGGAAUUUACAAUGAUUUUAUUGGAUUUUGCAUUCAAUUUACAGGAAAAAUGUAUUUACUGGAAUUCUGAAAUUUUUUUUUACAAAAAAAAAUUUGUAACGGAAUUUCCUUUACAAAUACUUAAAAAUUUUGUAACGGAUUUUUCGUUCCAUUAACUUUAACAUGAGAGUAUUUGUAACGGAUUUUUGUAACGGAUUUAGGUAUUUGUAAUGGAAAUUUUGUAUCGGACCAAAGUCAACGGAAUUUCCGUUACAAAUACUACAAAUACUAUUUUUAACGGAAAUUCCGUUAACUUUGCUCGUCCUAACUGCUUACUUUUUUUAUAGUGAAGCCUUCUGACGUGAAGAGGUUGCGGAAGAUGAAUGCUUCCAAGCUUCCUCGAGGGGCUUCCACUGAACUUGAGGCGGGAGAAAUUCGUAUCCCCGAGAUGAUUCAUCAAGUUCCUAUUUAGCUUCAACUCCUCGAUGCUUCAAGGAAGAGGGCUCCUAUUCUACCUACUUCUGCUUUUCCGACAAAGAGGCCACGUACUCUUGAGAAGGGUUCAACUUCACAACCUCUUAUGUCUACGAAGGAGACCUUUUCGAAACCUUCUUAUCAAUCCACUCACGAUGAACAAAUGCCGGGGCAUGAUUGUUAUCACCCGGUGAAGCAUGGAAGCAAAAUUCCUAUUGUUCCUGAAACUGUUGCGAGUCAGGCUGCUUUAAAAAGGAUUUCUAUGUACGGGUUGGACAAGCUGGUUGAGGAAAUGGCCCAGAAUCUAGCGAACGUAAGAUUUACUUUGACCUUCUCUAUUUAUUCUAUUUUUUCUAACUCCACUUUUUACAGCUUGAUCAUUUGUGGAAGGCGGGAUUUGCCCCUCUGGGCAAUAUCUGGAAUCAUCACCAAAUCCUUAAUGAACUCACCUCCCUAAAGCGGAAAUAAAGCUUUCUGAAGGCAAACCUGCGGAUUAUGCGAAGACCAACACACAUCUUCACAUUCAGAAUGACACCCUUGCUAAAGAUAUUAAAGCUAAAGAUACUUACAUCCAGGAUUUGGAGGAGAAGAAUAGGAAAAUGCAGGUUGAACAUGCCGAAGCCCAGACUGCCAAAACUAAUUUUGAAGUUCAAGCAACCAUUCAAAGGACAGUUGUUGAAUCAAUGGAUACUUCUCUUAAGGCGGCGGAUCAAAAGAUUAUUCAGCUCAAGGGUGAACUUGAUGCUCUGAAGGCUAGUCAGACAUCUGCUGCUGAUAUCCUGAUUAGACACGUUGAGCAGACAGAGGAGCUGAAUAAUCUUCAGAGGGAAAGUGCGGAGACUGAGGACUAUCUUUGAAGUGAUCUUCAGAAGAAUAUCACUUAUUAUAAUAACGUGGUUCAAUUUGGUUCUCAUCUGCAUCCGGAGUUUGAUGCUGAAGAAGACCUCAAGUGGGUUGUGGAUCAUCCGGAUGAGGUUGAGAAACUUUAACUGGAAUAAUUGAUUAAAUAAGUGCCAUAGCAAACACAAGGGUCAUAAUUGUUUCGAUCUGCUACCUUAUCCUAUAUCCAUCGUUUGUUUUUAUUUAUUUAUUUAUUAUCUGUCAAGCU
RNAcentral lists this long non-coding RNA (5549 nucleotides) under Zostera marina. RNAcentral's name for it is "long non-coding RNA (ZMAR_LNC000641)". Lineage: Eukaryota; Viridiplantae; Streptophyta; Magnoliopsida; Alismatales; Zosteraceae. The record is from RNAcentral.